RNAcentral lists this transfer RNA (66 nucleotides) under Dolicheulota formosensis. RNAcentral describes it as "tRNA-Leu". The record is from RNAcentral. Lineage: Eukaryota; Metazoa; Mollusca; Gastropoda; Stylommatophora; Camaenidae.
UUUAUAGUGGCAGACUAUGCAUAGAUUUUAAGCGUCUAUUAUAAGGUAAAUAUAUCUUCUAUUUUC